CCAAAAAUCUCAGUUUCAAUUUCAUUUGCAUAUGGAACUUUUGAUGAUCUGGAUGCGUUAAGCACGUCUAACGAACCAACAGCUAUAACAAGUGUGGGUACAAAUGUACCUUUGGUCGUUGGCUAUUUUGUAAUCAUCUAAUAUGUAUAUGUUUGCAUUCGUAUAUCAUUACUCUAUAGCUACUAGAAAAAUAGUUAUUUACACUGGAAAAAAGUCCUCCCUCUCUAUGUACCCCUGAUGUUCUUGAUCUUGUAUCCUUAGCAAGGUUUCUGUUGUUACAUGUCAGUUUUUCUAAAGGACGCGUUGUCAAUAUAUGUAUUAUAAUAGAUUUUUACACUAGCCACAUGUCCUCGCUAUAAGUAUUUUUUUUAAUUAAUAUUAAAAUGGUGUUUGAUAUUGUUUAUCUAAAGUGCUUAUUGUGGUUUAAUAUGUAAUUGAUAAGGUAUUUAAAGUUUUUGGAUAAUGAGUUUUUUGAUAAGUUAUUUCAUCAUUACACAUAAAAUACUUUAUCAAACACUAAAAUAUAACUUCUAAGCUUAUUAUGUUUUGGUAGAAAAUAAAUUAAUUCAAACAUUUCUUUUAAACUCUAUUUUAACACCAUAUAAACUAAGAGAAAUAAAAUAUCCUCCUACUUAUUCUUCAUAUCCAUCUUCUUACAUGCUUAGGAUUGUAUUCAAUAAAAUUAAUAAACUUUUAUUAGGUUUUAGAAAAUACAAAAAGCAAGGACAUGUCGCGAGUGUACACUUUGUUUUGAAUUAUACUUGCGGCUUUCUUUUGGGGAUUCCAUCGAGAGACCCAAGGUUCAUGUACUGAAACUCGCUUCUUCAAAUUUCCCUCUUCUCUGUUGUCGUCGUCUUUUUCAUUUUCUUUGCUUCUUUUCUUAUAGGUCUGGUAGUUGGAUAUAUUGCGUUUUGGAGUGUUGCUUGUUAAGUGUAAAGAUGUGUAAGGUGUUGCUGUAGCCAACAACUGCAGAGAAUGUUACGAGGAGGAAACCUUCCAACACUGAAUCCUCAAUUUUUUGUUCGAAUAGCUGAUUUCAUCUCCUACGCUUUUUGGUUGUUGGAGUUAAUUUGUUGUGUUUUUGUGAUGUAUAUGUCGUCAGAGAUGAUGAAGUGCACAAACGCAUACGGCGAUGUUGCUUGUGGUUGUGGAGUUGCCUCUUCCUUCUUCGAUUGAAGCUUCAAAUACAACAAAUUUGGUGUUGUUUCCUUAUGAAGAAAUCCGUUACGCCAAUCCUAAUUUUUGAUAACAAGAAAUUAGGGUUAAUAUCCUAUUGGACAAAUGGGUUCAUUCAUAUAUAUUGAUGUUUCCAUUUGAUUCAGGGUUCUUCUUGUUUUGGUUCACAAUAAACUGAUACUUUUGAACGAAAUUGAUAUCGAUUUUAUUGAUGCAUUUUUCUCGUA
This is a non-coding RNA of Lactuca sativa (garden lettuce), 1403 nucleotides long. The record is from RefSeq and is a predicted model, not a curated record. Lineage: Eukaryota; Viridiplantae; Streptophyta; Magnoliopsida; Asterales; Asteraceae.